AUGAUCCUAGCUAGAGCUCUCAUUCUUUCUAGACUCGAUUACUGCAAUGCUUCAUAUAUUGGGGCCAACAAACACAUCCUACAUAGAAUACAAAUUCAACAAAAUAAUGCCUUGACGGCAGCUCUUGGUAUCUCCAAAUGAUCACAGAUCUCUCAGAUAAGGCGCAAUAACAAUUGGCUGUCGACCCAAGACAAAAUCUUACUGAAAGUGGCCUCCAUUACACAUAAAGCACUGAAUAAUGCAGCUCCUCCCUACCUAACAGAUAGAUUUAUAGAAAGAAGAUCUGUCAGACCCUCAAGAACCACCUAUGCCAAUACCCUCAUCAUUCCAAGUUUCAAACUUACCAAGGGCGGAGGCACCAGCUUCCCCGUCCGAGCAGCCCAAGUAUGGAACUCACUGCCUCACACUAUACGUGAAGAGAAAUCCUACUUUAAAUUCAGAUCUAACUACAUCAAACACCUGAAACAGUCGAUCAACUAGCCAGUGCAUCCUUCCCCUUACCACCCGCCUGACAUUUUACUUGUAUCUUGUACAAUAUCAUGUAUAUAAUCUACUGUAUCACUGCUAUUACCUGUAUAUAUUAUUUGUAUUAUUUGUAAUUAUGUGUAUUCAUGUAACUGUGUAAGCUAAGCUUCGCAUAUAUCCUGUACUGCUGCACCUCUUACCCUCGGGUCUGGUGCGCAUUAUAAGUGAAUAAUACAAACAAACAAACAAACAAGCUGAGGUGAAAUCCUGUUGUGAUGUGCACACCACCGGCACCUCUCAGCCACUCUGUUGCAUGCUGCAGGGGGUGGAGCAUGAGCAUGUGUGAUAUGACCCAAAUAGGUGAGCUAUUCCUGUGUAUGGCAAAGCCAGAUGAAACUCAUAUGGACGUUCAUAGUGGUAUUGUCAUGCAAAUCGGUUGUCUGAACUGACUAUCGGAGCAGAAGAUUAAUCGAACCAUCUAGAAGCUGGUUCCAUCUGGAGUUUCUCUCAGGAUAGCUGGUUCUCAGAUACCCCAGUUUUAUCUGGUGAGGCAAAUUAUUAGAAGUCUUAGUGACAAAACAAUCUCAACCUAUUCUCAGACUUUAUAUGUCAAGGAGUUUGGCUCGCUAGCAUGAAGCUGAGCAUCACAUACCAGUGCCCAUUGUGCCACUUUUUGUAUGCAGAACUGGUGCUGCAGGAUGAACCGAAUGCCAGGUUAAGGUGCACAAUGCUGACGCUCAUCAAACCCGAGGAAAGGUGUUGGUUGCCCAAGACAGCGGAAUAGUGGCCAUGAAAGUCAGAAUCUGCUAAGGAGAGUGUAACAACUCACAUGCCGAAUCAACUAGCCCUGGCAAUGGAUGGCACUGGAGAAUUGGGCACAUACCCAGCCGUUGCCAGCACGGAGAGAUACAGGGGCGAUAACGCAAUGAGUAGGAGGUAUGCUGAGGUGUGCAUGGUAGCCCAGAGCGAGUGCCAGAAUGGAGUUGCUGCAGAUGCAGCUCUUGGUAGUAGUAGCAAAUAUUCAAAGAAGAACUUAGAAUGGCAUAGUGGAGGAGGCUACCAUGUGAACAGCUGUUGAACAUGGGUCAGUUUUUCCUAAGAGAUUGGCGAGCAUCAUUCAGAAGGAGAAGCAAUAGCCUCCAUUGUCCUCUGCUGUUUGAAAGGGAUUCGGGUUCAGUUCCCCAAACCCAGAGUGGUAAAGAUGGGCACCCUCACUGCAUCCAUUGCCGUAAGGAAAAAGUUCCUGGAGAAUCUGGAGUGUUCUCUGUGGAGAGUUCUAUUUACUUUGUGAAGGGCAGGACACCUUGGAACGAUUUUCCCUAGAGAGAGGAGCAUAAACCUUGGAAAGCAUUGUGGUUCGGGUGGCUUACAGUGAGCUAUCGCUUUUCCUUGUUACUCCAUGGGAGAUGGUGUAGAUCUCACACAACUCCGUACCCAUAUCUGCAGGGAUUGGGGUUAGAAGCCAGUGGCAGAAAUAUUCAAGGGAGAAAAGACCGAAAGUUAUUUUUCUGAAAAUAACUUUGGUCUUUUCUCCGCUGAACAUGUCCACUUUGGUCAGACCUGGUGGGCUGCAAGGCACCCGCUCGCAGAACUUGGAGUAUGCCGAUCCGGUAACAAUGGUGCCGGUAGCUUACCGGCACUGUUGUUAUCAGACCGGCAUACUCAUAAUGAGGCGCAAUGUGAUUUCUGCCCAGUGCCCUGAAUGUCAAAUUGAAGAAAAUCAUUGGACCGCAGGUAAAUGGCGGGAGUAACUAAGACUCUCUUAAGGUGACCAAAUGCUGCGUCAUCUCAUUGGUGGCAUACAUGAAAGGAUAAACGGGACUCCCACUGUCCAUACCUACUAUCUAGUAAAUCACAGCCAAGGGAACAGGCUUGGCCGAUUUAGCAGGGAUCAGAGACACUGUUGAGCAUGACUCUAGUCUGGCACUGUGAUGAGACAUGAGAAGUGUGGGAUAAGUGGGAGGCCCUCGAGCCAGUGGUUAAUUACCACCAUUUUUUAUAAUUUUUCACUUGCCCAGUGAGGCGGGGGUGGCCAGCCCCAUGGCGCUGUCUCUUCUGGCUCCAAACACCACUCCAGCAUGAUCCGUUUCUGGGACAUUGGCAGGUGUGGUACUUGACUGGGAAAAUGCACCUGUCCUACGAUAAUACAGGUAUCCUAAGGCAAGCUCAUGUCGGACAGAAACAUUCCAUGGAGACAGAGGGCACAAUCUUGCAGGAUCUUGAUUUUACCUAUGAAGACAGACUAUAUAAGCAGGGCCUCAUGAUCCUUAUGACAUUUUGUGUUUCCAGUAAAGCAUUCAUAGCGACUUCACAUUUUGAUCCUUCCAUGUUGGCUCUUCCUAUCAUUGUGAAACCGAAUUCAGCAAACAUUACAUUGUUCACUCUCUAAUGGAGAACAUGAGCUAGGUUUAGACCGUCGUGUGACAUGCUGAUGAUGUGUUGUUGCAAUAGUAAUCCUGUUCACUGCCAUCUGUGGGAUUAUGACUGAAUGCCUCUAAGUCAGAAUCCCCCCAAAGCUGUUAUGCUAAUGCAGCCCUGUGGAUCCUCAGUUGGCCUAGGAUAGCAAGCUUUUGGGCAAGUGCAUAGAGCUGUUUGCCUCAGGACUCAAGUGUGGACAGAAGGGGACCACCUCUCUCGCCCAUAGUGCACCACUUAUUGUUUUGGAAUAUGGUGCAUAAUCACUUGUAGAUGACCUGAUUCUGGGUCACAGUUUCAUAAUUAGCCAUUUAGCUAACUCUCUGGCAUCUAUUGGAAGUCAUUCAA
This 3228-nucleotide ribosomal RNA is filed under the name Ambystoma mexicanum (axolotl). RNAcentral's name for it is "eukaryotic LSU rRNA". The stretch from base 580 to 3228 matches the Rfam family "Eukaryotic large subunit ribosomal RNA". The record is from RNAcentral. Lineage: Eukaryota; Metazoa; Chordata; Amphibia; Caudata; Ambystomatidae.